CAGUCGCCGCGGUAAUACGAGGGGUGCAAGAGUUAUUCGGAUUGAUUGGGUGUAAAGGGUGUGCAGACGGCUUAUUAAGUCACUUGUUAAAUUCUUCGGCCUAACUGAAGGUCUGCAAGUGAUACUGAUGAGCUAGAGGGCGGAAGAGAGAAGUGGAAUUCUCGGAGUAGCGGUAAAAUGCGUAGAUCUCGAGAGGAACACCAAUGGCGAAGGCAGCUUCUUGGUCCAUUCCUGACGUUCAUACACGAAAGCGUGGGGAGCAAACAGGAUUAGAUACCCCUGUAGUCCAUGUCUCUUAUAC
RNAcentral lists this ribosomal RNA (301 nucleotides) under uncultured bacterium. RNAcentral's name for it is "partial 16S ribosomal RNA". It matches the Rfam family "Bacterial small subunit ribosomal RNA", at positions 509 to 807 of the family's 1533-position model. The record is from RNAcentral.